AUCGGCAUACAAUACACACGUCUGAAAGUUAGUCUUAGUUUUAUGUACACCGUUUCGAUAUCCUGUAUUUCGUCCUGUUUCCAUAAAUUAUUGGCAGUGCUUCCAGCCUAAUAAUGGCUCAUUAGAGCCGCAAUUUUUUUCUGAAUUUACAGGAUACUAUUAUGUCUACUACAACUGGUACAGUUAAGUGGUUCAACGAAUCUAAAGGCUUUGGUUUUAUCGAGCAAGAAAACGGCCCUGACGUUUUCGCUCAUUUCCGUGCUAUUCAAGGUACUGGCUUCAAAACUCUUGCUGAAGGCCAAAAAGUUGAGUUCACUGUAACUCAAGGUCAAAAAGGCCCACAAGCUGAGAACAUCGUUCCUUUAUAAUUUAAAGGUAACGGCUUAAUUUCUUCGGAGACUAAGCAGUUCAAGUUUGAAAAAGGCUAAACCGAAAGGUUUGGCCUUUUUU
RNAcentral lists this small RNA (450 nucleotides) under Oleispira antarctica RB-8. RNAcentral describes it as "cspA thermoregulator". Lineage: Bacteria; Pseudomonadati; Pseudomonadota; Gammaproteobacteria; Oceanospirillales; Oceanospirillaceae. The record is from Rfam by way of RNAcentral.